GGGGUUGUGGCUCAGCGGUAGAGCGCUUGCCUCUCACGCACGAGGUACUAGGUUCAAUCCUCGGCACCA
RNAcentral lists this transfer RNA (69 nucleotides) under Ictidomys tridecemlineatus (thirteen-lined ground squirrel). RNAcentral describes it as "Spermophilus tridecemlineatus (thirteen-lined ground squirrel) tRNA". It matches the Rfam family "tRNA". Rfam says of the family: Transfer RNA (tRNA) molecules are approximately 80 nucleotides in length. Their secondary structure includes four short double-helical elements and three loops (D, anti-codon, and T loops). The record is from Rfam by way of RNAcentral. Lineage: Eukaryota; Metazoa; Chordata; Mammalia; Rodentia; Sciuridae.